RNAcentral lists this ribosomal RNA (566 nucleotides) under fungal endophyte sp. E6-3252. RNAcentral describes it as "eukaryotic LSU rRNA". The stretch from base 220 to 373 matches the Rfam family "5.8S ribosomal RNA". Lineage: Eukaryota; Fungi. The record is from RNAcentral.
AACGUAACAAGGUCUCCGUUGGUGAACCAGCGGAGGGAUCAUUGCUGGAACGCGCCCCAGGCGCACCCAGAAACCCUUUGUGAACUUAUACCUUACUGUUGCCUCGGCGCAUGCCGGCCCCCCUGGGGGCCCCUCCUUCUGGAGGAGCAGGCACGCCGGCGGCCAACCUAACUCUUGUUUUUACACUGAAACUCUGAGAAUAAAACAUAAAUGAAUCAAAACUUUCAACAACGGAUCUCUUGGUUCUGGCAUCGAUGAAGAACGCAGCGAAAUGCGAUAAGUAAUGUGAAUUGCAGAAUUCAGUGAAUCAUCGAAUCUUUGAACGCACAUUGCGCCCUCUGGUAUUCCGGAGGGCAUGCCUGUUCGAGCGUCAUUUCAACCCUCAAGCCUGGCUUGGUGGUGGGGCACUGCUUCUUACCCAAGAAGCAGGCCCUGAAAUUCAGUGGCGAGCUCGCCAGGACCCCGAGCGCAGUAGUUAAACCCUCGCUCUGGAAGGCCCUGGCGGUGCCCUGCCGUUAAACCCCCAACUGGUGAAAAAAGACCUCGGCUCAGGUGAUAGGGUCGGG